Molecule: ribosomal RNA, 497 nt
Filed under: uncultured bacterium
Lineage: Bacteria
Description: partial 16S ribosomal RNA
Rfam family: Bacterial small subunit ribosomal RNA
Source: RNAcentral
GAUGAACGCUGGCGGCGUGCCUAAUACAUGCAAGUCGAGCGAACGGACGAGAAGCUUGCUUCUCUGAUGUUAGCGGCGGACGGGUGAGUAACACGUGGAUAACCUACCUAUAAGACUGGGAUAACUUCGGGAAACCGGAGCUAAUACCGGAUAAUAUUUUGAACCGCAUGGUUCAAAAGUGAAAGACGGUCUUGCUGUCACUUAUAGAUGGAUCCGCGCUGCAUUAGCUAGUUGGUAAGGUAACGACUUACCAAGGCAACGAUGCAUAGCCGACCUGAGGGGGUGAUCGGCCACACUGGAACUGAGACACGGUCCAGACUCCUACGGGAGGCAGCAGUAGGGAAUCUUCCGCAAUGGGCGAAAGCCUGACGGAGCAACGCCGCGUGAGUGAUGAAGGUCUUCGGAUCGUAAAACUCUGUUAUUAGGGAAGAACAUAUGUGUAAGUAACUGUGCACAUCUUGACGGUACCUAAUCAGAAAGCCACGGCUAACUACGUG